AGCGGGGUGGGGGAGCUUGGAGAUUUUUGCGAUUUAGAUCGCAUUAACCAAAUUUCCCGCCGGGCUCAUAACCCGGAGGUCGAUGGUUCAAAUCCAUCCCCCGCUA
This 106-nucleotide transfer RNA is filed under the name Microcaldota archaeon. Its description in RNAcentral is "tRNA-Met". It matches the Rfam family "tRNA". Rfam says of the family: Transfer RNA (tRNA) molecules are approximately 80 nucleotides in length. Their secondary structure includes four short double-helical elements and three loops (D, anti-codon, and T loops). The record is from RNAcentral. Lineage: Archaea; Nanobdellati; Microcaldota.